CGUCCUAUUAGCUAGUUGGUGAGGUAAUGGCUCACCAAGGCUACGAUGGGUAGGGGUUCUUAGUGGAAGGUCCCCCACACUGGCACUGAGAUACGGGCCAGACUCCUACGGGAGGCAGCAGUAGGGAAUAUUGGUCAAUGGGCGCAAGCCUGAACCAGCCAUGCCGCGUGCAGGAUGAAGGCUCUCUGAGUUGUAAACUGCUUUUGUACAGGAGCAAAAAAAUCCCUGCGGGGGUUCUUGGGAGUACUGUAAGAAUAAGCACCGGCUAAUUCCGUGCCAGCAGCCGCGGUAAUACGGGAGGUGCAAGCGUUAUCCGGUUUUAUUGGGUUUAAAGGGUGCGUAGGCGGCUUAUUAAGUCAGUUGUGAAAUCCUAGUGCUUAACGCUAGAACUGCGAUUGAUACUAUU
This 406-nucleotide ribosomal RNA is filed under the name Candidatus Cardinium sp. RNAcentral's name for it is "bacterial SSU rRNA". It matches the Rfam family "Bacterial small subunit ribosomal RNA", at positions 234 to 637 of the family's 1533-position model. The record is from RNAcentral. Lineage: Bacteria; Pseudomonadati; Bacteroidota; Cytophagia; Cytophagales; Amoebophilaceae.